CCCUUAGAUGUCCUGGGCCGCACGCGCGCUACACUGACAUGUUCAACAAGUUUCUCCUAGUUCGACAGGACUGGGAAAUCUUUGAACGCAUGUCGUGAUAGGGAUAGAUCAUUGCAAUUAUUGAUCUUGAACGAGGAAUUCCUAGUAAACGCGAGUCAUCAGCUCGCAUUGAUUACGCCCCUGCCCUUUGUACACACCGCCCGUCGCACCUACCGAUUGAAUGUUUCGGUGAAGAUUCCGGAUAGGACUGAUUUGAUUUAUUUCAUUUCUGACCUAAAAGCUAUCUAAACCUCAACAUUUAGAGGAAGGUGAAGUCGUAACA
RNAcentral lists this ribosomal RNA (322 nucleotides) under uncultured eukaryote. RNAcentral's name for it is "partial 18S ribosomal RNA". It matches the Rfam family "Eukaryotic small subunit ribosomal RNA", at positions 1470 to 1796 of the family's 1831-position model. The record is from RNAcentral.